Molecule: long non-coding RNA, 371 nt
Organism: Leptinotarsa decemlineata (Colorado potato beetle)
Lineage: Eukaryota; Metazoa; Arthropoda; Insecta; Coleoptera; Chrysomelidae
Source: RefSeq, a predicted model, not a curated record
AAUCACAUAAUAACUAAUUGUUUCAUUACAGGUGAAUCAAUGACCAACACCAAUGCUUAUAAGUGUUUCAAAACGUUAAUGAGAGUGGAGAGCUCACAGGAAAGUUUUGAUUUCCUACCAUCGGUCAUCGACUUUCCCAUGUUUUUUGAAGAAAUCCUCGGUAUUGAUAUGGACAGAGACAAAGUGACAGAAAAUGCAGAAGAUACUAGUCGAAGAACUCAUGAAACUGAUCAAGAAUUAUAACAGCUGAGAAAUGAAUGUAUUUUUAAAUUAAUAUUUUCAGAAUAACAAUAUGAAACUGCAAAUUUCAAGAAAAAUUAAAUGAAACAAAUAUAUUUACAUCGUUAAUUCAUAUUACCUGUGAACAUUAA